RNAcentral lists this ribosomal RNA (253 nucleotides) under uncultured bacterium. RNAcentral describes it as "partial 16S ribosomal RNA". It matches the Rfam family "Bacterial small subunit ribosomal RNA", at positions 524 to 776 of the family's 1533-position model. The record is from RNAcentral.
UACAGAGGGGGCAAGCGUUGUUCGGAAUUACUGGGCGUAAAGGGCGCGUAGGCGGCCUGCUAAGUCGAACGUGAAAUCCCCGGGCUCAACCCGGGAACUGCGUCCGAUACUGGUGGGCUUGAAUCCGGGAGAGGGAUGUGGAAUUCCAGGUGUAGCGGUGAAAUGCGUAGAUAUCUGGAGGAACACCGGUGGCGAAGGCGGCAUCCUGGACCGGUAUUGACGCUGAGGAGCGAAAGCUAGGGGAGCAAACGGG